GUUGUUCGGAAUUACUGGGCGUAAAGGGCGCGUAGGCUGUGCUGUAAGUCAGGCGUGAAAGCCCCGGGCUCAACCUGGGAAUUGCGCUUGAUACUGCGGCGCUGGAAGGUGGGAGAGGAUGGCGGAAUUCCCAGUGUAGAGGUGAAAUUCGUAGAUAUUGGGAAGAACACCGGUGGCGAAGGCGGCCAUCUGGCCCACAUUUGACGCUGAGGCGCGAAAGCGUGGGGAGCAAACAGG
RNAcentral lists this ribosomal RNA (237 nucleotides) under uncultured bacterium. RNAcentral's name for it is "partial 16S ribosomal RNA". It matches the Rfam family "Bacterial small subunit ribosomal RNA", at positions 540 to 776 of the family's 1533-position model. The record is from RNAcentral.